Long non-coding RNA from Lytechinus pictus (painted urchin), 2612 nucleotides. RefSeq lists it as uncharacterized. The record is from RefSeq and is a predicted model, not a curated record. NCBI's taxonomy places the organism in Eukaryota, Metazoa, Echinodermata, Echinoidea, Temnopleuroida, Toxopneustidae. The transcript is spliced from 3 exons.
AGAGGUAGACAUGGUUUUACCGAAAGACCAACCUUUCAUGCGUUUGUUGUAUUAGGAAAAAAAUACACACUGAUCGGGCUCUCAAAAUAUAGGGCAUUUAAUCAUAGGAAUUCUUCAUCCGAAAUUGGACUGCAUAUUUAUUGAGCAAGAAAGUAAAGGAAAACAAAUUAAAAAAAACUCCAUUCGAAGAGGGAAUAAUUAUGAAGGAUAUUCAAGGUCAUCAGACGCCAUGUCUUACAUGCAUCAUGGACCUGCUAUAGGUACAUGCAUGCAAAGACCUAUUGUGUUACAAGCUUCUGUGAAAAGCUGCCUUUGGAUUAAUGAACGGCUCAAUCAUGUCAAUGGUGUGAUACAGUUUUUUCCCCAAUAAUUUCGUUUCCACGUUUUCAACAAUCAUAAUCAGAGCUGUAUCGAUAAAUAUUUCUAUUCAGUUGUUCGUGCCUGUGUGAACACUAAGAAACUUGAUUAGAAAACCGAGAAUCGUUCUACACAUGCCAAAAGUCAAUUUUUCAUAAAUCUAGAAAAUAACUCGAAAAACUCGAAAAAAAAAAGCAGACAUGGUUUUAUCGAAUUUAAUUAGCCUCAAAGUCAUGAUAGCGUGACAAGCCCCUGUUAAAAGCUACUAUUCAAUAGACUUGAUAGAUUAACCAUCCAAUGACAAGGGAUGAAAUCUUUCAGGGGGCGUUUUCACAGUUUUGAAUUAACAUAAUCCUAGCUUUGUCAAUAAAUGUUUCUUUUCUUUACCUGUAUAAUAUGUGUUUGCGAUUUCUUCAUUGCCAACUGAACACAUAUUGAACAUCUUGAUUGGAAUUCACGAGGCUUGCAAAACUACUUAAGUCGUCAUUUUCAUAUUAUUUCAUUACUGGAGACAGAAAUAGUCCUUUUGAGAAGUCGGGAUCGGGAUCCUGUUAGAUGAAAAACUGUCAGAAUUUGUUCAUUCAAGUGUCUGGAUUUCAUUAACCAUCAUCAUGUCUGAACGCAAUGCCGUCAUCAAGAAUGCUGAUAUGUCAGAAGACAUGCAGCGAGACGCCAUCGCAUGCGCGACCGGAGCCAUGGAGAAAUUCAACGUUGAGAAAGACAUCGCUGCCCACAUCAAGAAGGAGUUCGACAAAAAAUUCAACCCGACCUGGCAUUGCAUUGUGGGUCGCAACUUCGGCAGCUACGUGACGCACGAGACCAAACAUUUCAUCUAUUUCUAUCUGGGACAAGUCGCCAUCUUGCUUUUCAAGUCUGGAUGAUUUUGUGCUGCAUUCAAACUUUCUGAGCUAAGGACAGUUACAGGUUAAAUGAAAUUCUUGCAGAUCAAGCCUAUGAAAAAUAAUGUGAUAGGCCUAACGAAGUUAUGGAAUUUCGCUCAAAUCCGUAAUAAUUAUACAACAUACCGUUUCCAUAAACGUACUGAUAUUACGAUUUCAUAAAAAUUAGUUAUAAAAUAUUAGAUUUAUGGCACAUUAGUUUAAUCUCGAAAAUAUGUUGUUAAGUAAAUUGCACAUCAUCUGAUCAUGGGAUAUGAAAGAUGUAAUCUAGUCGUAACUGAGCUCGCAAUGUCUUCUAUGUGUUAUUCAUGUAUAAAUUAAAUGUUCCAGUUAAAUGAAUAAUGAGAGUUCCCUUUCUAGCAGCUCCUCUUUACUAAAACACGAUAAAUUAUUAUUACGAUAAUAAUGAUUUUACUUCUUCCGUAUGGUGAACCAAAAUAAGUUUUACAUAAUUGAAAAACAAUUUGUGACAUAACCGACUACAUUAUCAUGUCGCCAUGACGCAUGCUGUUAUUGUACUGUUUUUUUUUAAACCAGCGAAACUUAAACCAUUAUCAUUUUUUUUUUACAUCUGAUUUGGAUGAAAUUACAAGUGCAAGUUUUGCAUCAAAUCAACUUAUUGAUGCUUUUCUGUCGGGGAUAUCAGGGCUUAGUAUGGCAACGUCUUUCUCAUAAUCUAGACUAGGCCUACUUAUUUAAUAUAGGCCAACAGUUUGCGCUACUCUUUCUCCUAACAUAAAAUAAACAUUUGAUUAUACUGAUAGUAUUUGUUAAAUCUUUAUUAUUAUUUUCAUAAAAAUUAAAAAUAAUGUGUUGAAAUCACAUGUGUCAUUCACAAGUAUACUCCGAUGUAAAGUAUUUUGAAUUCGCUCUGUGAAUUAUGCUUCGAAUACAAUCUCGAUUUGCGCGCCGAAAUUUGUUAUCGAUCGAAUUACCAAAUAUCAUGUACUGAUAAUAAUAUAUGCUUGCAAAAUUUGGUAAUAAUUAGUAACACCAAUUAAGACAUUAACAUAGUGAAUGUAUAAGUUCUUUUGAUGAUUGUUUUAAUUAAUGAGAUAUCUAGAGCAAAUUUCUAUCGGUCAGACUGAAUACUUACUUUUAUAUAUAGAAAUAAUUGACAGGAAUGAGUUAAUGUAUUACAGCAAAAAAGCGCAACUAACAAGGAUCUAUAGACAUUAUUAUUUUAUAGAUACAUCCCUAAUAUACAUGACAGUUUGAAUAUGAGUUCGUUUAAUGUCUACAACUACACAUACAUGACAUAUGCAUAUGGACUUAUAAUAAAUCAUGAAUAUGGAAAAGGAAUAUUCAUAAACUUGCAAAAGUGUAAUUAAUAAAUUCAUUAUGUUAAACUAAUAA